RNAcentral lists this ribosomal RNA (237 nucleotides) under uncultured bacterium. Its description in RNAcentral is "partial 16S ribosomal RNA". It matches the Rfam family "Bacterial small subunit ribosomal RNA", at positions 678 to 916 of the family's 1533-position model. The record is from RNAcentral.
GCGGUGAAAUGCGUAGAUAUGCCAUAGAACACCAAUUGCGAAGGCAGCUGGCUAGACCUGGAUUGACGCUGAGGCACGAAAGCGUGGGGAGCGAACAGGAUUAGAUACCCUGGUAGUCCACGCCCUAAACGAUGCUUACUCGACGUAUGAUGCUUGACAUUGUGCGUCCAAGGGAAACCGUUAAGUAAGCCACCUGGGGAGUACGACCGCAAGGUUGAAACUCAAAUGAAUUGACGG